Long non-coding RNA from Drosophila simulans, 906 nucleotides. RefSeq lists it as uncharacterized. The record is from RefSeq and is a predicted model, not a curated record. NCBI's taxonomy places the organism in Eukaryota, Metazoa, Arthropoda, Insecta, Diptera, Drosophilidae. The transcript is spliced from 2 exons.
GCACCUGUAAAUACCACCCAUCGCCUGAAAAGUGCGCCAAUACUUAUGAAAUAAAGUGCAAUGACGAUUUUGCCAUUACAGAUUUGCCCCGUAAUGGUGGAUCACCAUAUUUACUGUAACAUAUAAUAAACUAAACAAAUCUACUUAAUCUUGAAAAAUUAUACUUCGUCAUGGAUUGACUUACUCUUAUAUACUUUGCUAUAUGUACGACAACCAAUAAUAGAUAUAUUUUGCAAUGUAUGUAUAUACUACUUAAUCGCUUUUUCCAAUGUUUAAGUGCAAAAGAUGAUGUGGUGCCGGGUCUCACUGAUUGCUAUCCACCCUUGCCGACAUAUAGAUAUACACCGAUACCUAUGAACACACUUAUCGGAUACGGACUGGCGAUUACCGAUGGCCCAGUGUCAAGUAAUGGCGGCAGGCCCGACACGUGUUGUUCCAAUUCGAGACGCAUCAAGCCGAUUCGAAUCGCCACCAAUGACGCCAGUAACGGACACGCUAAUUUCCUGGUCACAGAGUCACCAUUUUGCCAGACGCGCAUUCACGUCGUCGGACGCCCUCGGUGAUGAGCUACAUACGUAUGUGUAAUAUGUGACGUCAUUGCUUAAAGUCGACCCGGUAGAAAAGGAAUAACCCUGCAACAGGCGAGAAAAAGAGGGAGGUACUCGGUCCACAGCUGUAGUAUAUAUGUUACUACGCCCGAAGUUUUACGCUAGCGUGGGCGUAUCCUGCUUCUCACUGCCGCUCCAACUGCGCCCUCUUGCUCACUCUCAAGCGUGGAUUGUUACGUCACUGGACUCGUCACUCGACUCGUAGUUGAAUUCAUCGUAAAAUGACGAUGACGGGGCAUAUGGCUUCGCGCUGUGCACUCGGCGUUCCUCUUUACAUAUGUACAGAUACAUAUAUAGG